RNAcentral lists this long non-coding RNA (860 nucleotides) under Amborella trichopoda. Its description in RNAcentral is "long non-coding RNA (ATRI_LNC002438)". The record is from RNAcentral. Lineage: Eukaryota; Viridiplantae; Streptophyta; Magnoliopsida; Amborellales; Amborellaceae.
AAUAAGUGUAUCGCACAAAGUGAAGGCAUUUGAAUAAUUGUAUAGCAUAAACUAAAAGCAUUUGAGGGUACUGCUCAUUAAAAGUAUAUGACAUCCAACAGUGAUACUCCUGUUUCUUCAGCCAAAGAAUCACGCCAAAAGAUAAUGUAACAUUAAAACAAAGCUUCACUGCUAUUACGCCAAAGAAGCCAUACUAGAGCUCGUCUAUCCGUCGGAUCUUCAGCGCUCGAAAGUAGACUUCUUCAGCUGAGGAAUCACCACAAAAAGAUAAUUCAACAUUAAAAUAAAGCUUGACCGCUAGUACGCCAAAGAAGCCAUGCUAGAGCUCGCCUAUUCGUUGGAUGUUCAUGGCGUAGUUGUUGAGAAUUGAGAAUUCAUGUCGGGCUUGGAUUGCUGCCGAUGCAGCAAAAUAUGAAGCCAGUUGCAAGUUUAACAGCCUAUUCAUCGGAUCUUCAUGGUCUAAAAGUAAUUGUUAAGAAGUGAGAAUUCGUAUCGGGUUCGGAUUGCCUCCGAUGCAGCAAAAUAUGAGACCGGUUGCACGGUGUUUUGGAGUCCUCUUCCAUGGAGGAUGUGAACUAGAGGAUGAAGAUGUAAGGGUGGUCAUAUGUCUAUGUCUUUUUUUAGAAUUUAAUAAAUGAUGUUUGCUCAAAAUAAAUGUGGGAUGGAUAGAUUACAAUUCAUGUUUGUUGAAAAUUAGGUUAGGUGUUUGUUGAAAAAUAGGUUAGGAAUUUGUUGAAAAUAAAUGCUCUAAAGGACUGUAGACCCUAGUAUACAGUUGAAAUGAUGUAAUAUUAAUACACACUAGAAAAAAUGGCUUUGGUAUUUAAUUCCUCUUAUUUUUGGUUGGGGACUUCAUGAUC